Molecule: long non-coding RNA, 1124 nt
Organism: Bactrocera tryoni
Lineage: Eukaryota; Metazoa; Arthropoda; Insecta; Diptera; Tephritidae
Exons: 3
Source: RefSeq, a predicted model, not a curated record
CACUGGACGUGGUCUAUUCGGUCGAAUAUUAUGCAGUAAUGAAUGCUGGGUCCGUUAUAGUUUGGGAUUUGACAACCCUAGUAUUGCAAUCUGACAACUCUCAACAUACAUUGACAUACAAGCGCUAUUUGUGUUGUUUACAGUAAGUUGAAAUAUUAAUCUCGGCCAAAAUAUGGAAUUAAAUCGCAAACAUAUUAAUUUUUACAAUUUUCGACGUGAAUUAACUUGCAUCGUUGAACUAAAUUCAAUUUUUAACUAUGAAGUUCCAUCAAAGACCAGUGUUUAUCGAUGGUAUGGUGAAUUCAAUCGAACUCAUAGAUCAUUCCAAGGCGAAUUUCGUGGAGGUCAUCCAAAAUCAGCUGUUGUUCUGGAAAUUAUUGAUGCUGUACCCAAAUUAAUAUUGCCAGAUAGUCAUGUGAUCUAUCGUGAGAUAGAGGCUACAGUGGUCAUUAGUGGGACGGACCAGUAUAGUAUUUAUACAAUAUUGCAUGGUCAUUUGACUGUAAAAAAAUUUAAGUUGAAUCUCACACAAUUUGUCGAUCACGAUAUCGCUACCUAGAAACAUGCUUAUGAUAUCGUGUCAGGUGAUGAAUCGUGGAUAUAGGCGUAUGAGCAACAAAGGUUGUUUCUAUAUGAAGCACUUCCAAGCAAACGAUCGCCUAUUUUUUGGAAAAACUGGACAUGUUGCAGCUACUAUAAAUUUAGAGUGGUACACAACCAUUUGUUCGCCGGUUGCUUUUCAAGAAAUCAGGAAAAAAAGAGCAGACGGAUCACUCUUCACUAUGCCUAUCAAGGACGUAGCCAGAUCCUGGCUACGUCCUUGAUGCCAAUGCUACAUCGUCAUCCUGACUUGGCACCGCAUGACUUCUAUUAACUCCGUACAUUCUUAAAAAGUUAACUAAGAGGUCAGCGUUUUUCAACACUUGAUGGGGCGGUUGAUGCGUAAAGAACACAAGUUUUGGAGAUACCUCAAUCAGAGUGGCAAAAGUGAUUCGAAAAUUGAGCGUAACCAUCAGAAACACACCCGGGCAACUAUAGCAUAGUUUUUUGGAAAAAACUAAUUACUGGAAAAAGGGGCAGAUAAUAAAAUUCUAAAUACCAGAUAAUAAAUUUGUUUACCUUAA